This 151-nucleotide ribosomal RNA is filed under the name Evansstolkia leycettana. RNAcentral's name for it is "[Talaromyces] leycettanus partial 28S ribosomal RNA". Lineage: Eukaryota; Fungi; Ascomycota; Eurotiomycetes; Eurotiales; Aspergillaceae. The record is from RNAcentral.
CCCGUUUUAGGGGGGACCUGCCCGAAAGGCAGCGGCGACGUCGCGUCGGGUCCUCGAGCGUAUGGGGCUUUGUCACUCGCUCGGGAGGGACCUGCGGGCGUUGGUCACCCAACUGUAUUUUUCCACGGUUGACCUCGGAUCAGGUAGGAGU